Molecule: small RNA, 146 nt
Filed under: Paramesorhizobium deserti
Lineage: Bacteria; Pseudomonadati; Pseudomonadota; Alphaproteobacteria; Hyphomicrobiales; Phyllobacteriaceae
Description: Alphaproteobacterial sRNA ar45
Rfam family: Alphaproteobacterial sRNA ar45
Source: Rfam by way of RNAcentral
GCCCAAAGUCGCACGUGCCUGUGGGUGUCCGCCGUCCCUCGAAUGGUGAGGGAAACGGUAAGGUACCUGGAACUAACCCCUCCAGUCGGUUUGCCGGCCAACCGCCAAAUCGAGGACAUCUUGAAGCAACGACGGUGCGGGCCUUU